This 294-nucleotide unclassified non-coding RNA is filed under the name uncultured fungus. RNAcentral's name for it is "partial contains 5.8S ribosomal RNA, internal transcribed spacer 2, and large subunit ribosomal RNA". The stretch from base 1 to 52 matches the Rfam family "5.8S ribosomal RNA", at positions 103 to 154 of the family's 154-position model. Lineage: Eukaryota; Fungi. The record is from RNAcentral.
AACGCAUCUUGCGCUCCUUGGUAUUCCGAGGAGCAUGCCUGUUUGAGUGUUAUUAAAUUCUCAACCCCGAGCGGAUUCGCGUUCGCUUCGGAGGCUUGGACGGUGGAGCGUGCUGGCCUUGCGGUCGGCUCCUCUGAAAUGCAUUCGCGGAAUUGACUCUGGUCCGUUUCGGUCGUCGGUGUGAUAAUAACGUUGCGCCGUCGAUCAGGACCGCGGAGACGCCGCAUACAAUGGUCUUCGGACGACUUUUUAAGGCUUAACCUCAAAUCAGGUAGGACUACCCGCUGAACUUAA